Molecule: non-coding RNA, 111 nt
Organism: Acanthosepion pharaonis
Lineage: Eukaryota; Metazoa; Mollusca; Cephalopoda; Sepiida; Sepiidae
Source: the annotation of a GenBank genome assembly
CGACCAGAUAACGUUGAAACACGAGAUCCUCAUCCGAUCACCGAAGGUAAGCAACAUUUAUCCUGAUCAGUACUUAGAUGGGUGACCGCGUGUAAGUAUCAAGUGCUGUAA